CAGAGGGGGAUAACGUUUGGAAACGAACGCUAAUACCGCAUGAUAUUAUUGAGCUGCAUGGCUUGAUAAUCAAAGGAGCAAUCCGCUGAAAGAUGGGCUCGCGUCCGAUUAGGUAGUUGGCGGGGCAACGGCCCACCAAGCCGACGAUCGGUAGCCGGACUGAGAGGUUGAACGGCCACAUUGGGACUGAGACACGGCCCAGACUCCUACGGGAGGCAGCAGUGAGGGAUAUUGGUCAAUGGGGGAAACCCUGAACCAGCAACGCCGCGUGAGGGAAGACGGUUUUCGGAUUGUAAACCUCUGUCCUCUGUGAAGAUAAUGACGGUAGCAGAGGAGGAAGCUCCGGCUAACUACGUGCCAGCAGCCGCGGUAAUACGUAGGGAGCAAGCGUUGUCCGGAUUUACUGGGUGUAAAGGGUGCGUAGGCGGCUUUGCAAGUCAGAAGUGAAAUCCAUGGGCUUAACCCAUGAACUGCUUUUGAAACUGCAGAGCUUGAGUGGAGUAGAGGUAGGCGGAAUUCCCGGUGUAGCGGUGAAAUGCGUAGAGAUCGGGAGGAACACCAGUGGCGAAGGCGGCCCGCUGGGCUCUAACUGACGCUGAGGCACGAAAGCGUGGGUAGCAAACAGGAUUAGAUACCCUGGUAGUCCACGCUGUAAAC
Molecule: ribosomal RNA, 657 nt
Filed under: uncultured bacterium
Lineage: Bacteria
Description: bacterial SSU rRNA
Rfam family: Bacterial small subunit ribosomal RNA
Source: RNAcentral